UGGAAGCAGCUAUUCAUUCAAAGAGUGCGUAACAGCUCACUGGUCGAGCGGAGCCGCGUGGAUGAUGAUCGGGCAUCAAGACCGCCGCCGAAGCCGAGGACGGCUGGCGCGAGUCAGUCGUGGUAGGGGAGCAUUCCGGUCGGCGCGGAAGGGAAGUCGCGAGGCUUCCUGGAGCGUCCGGAAAAGAAAAUGUAGGCAUGAGUAACGACAAGGGGCGUAGAAACGCCCCCGCCGAAAACCCAAGGUUUCCGGGGCCACGCUAAACGGCCCCGGGUGAGCCGGGAGCUAACGGUAAGCCGAGAGGCGAUCCGGAUGCACACGCGGUUAAUAUUCCGCGGCCGGCCCGUCGGGCGAUGUCGCGACCGAGAAGUGAAACCUCCGCGCGGAGACGGAAUUCCGCGUUGAAGGCCGUAGGGGAGACCCGAAAGCCGACAGUACAGCGAGCCUCCGGGCGAGCCGACAGCGAGGGUAACCAUGCUCGCGAGAAAAGCGACUAGCGCUAAGAGACGGGCCGCCCGUACCGUAAACCGACACAGGUGGGUGGGGAGAGUAUCCUGAGGCGCUCGAGUGAAUCACGGCCAAGGAACUAGGCAAAUUGACCCCGUAACUUAGGGAUAAGGGGUCCCGCGGCGACGCGGGCGCAGAGAAAUGGCCCAGGCGACUGUUUACCAAAAACAUAUGGCUAUGCGAAAUCGUUAAGAUGACGAAUAUGGCCUGACACCUGCCCGGUGCCGGAAGGUUAAGAGGGGGGGUCACCGAAAGGGAAGCCCUGAAUUGAAGCCCCGGUAAACGGCGGCCGUAACUAUAACGGUCCUAAGGUAGCGAAAUUCCUUGUCGGGUAAGUUCCGACCUGCACGAAUGGUGUAACGAUCUGGGCGCUGUCUCAGCCGUGAGCUCGGUGAAAUUGUAGUGACGGUGAAGAUGCCGUCUACCCGCAACGGGACGAAAAGACCCCGUGAACCUUUACUAUAGCUUAGCGCUGAUCUUGGACGUCGGAUGUGUAGCAUAGGUGGGAGGCUUCGAGGCGCGGCCGCCAGGUCGCGAUUAGCCGCCAAAUGAAAUACCACCCUUCCGUCGUCUGGGGUCUAACUUCGCGAGAAGGACACCGCUUGGUGGGUAGUUUGACUGGGGUGGUCGCCUCCAAAAGAGUAACGGAGGCUUCCCAAGGUCCGCUCAGGACGAAUGGCAACCGUCCGCAGAGUGCAGUGGCAAAAGCGGGCUUGACUGGGAGACAAACAGGUCGAGCAGGUACGAAAGUAGGGCAAAGUGAUCCGGCGGUUCCCCAUGGGAGGGCCGUCGCUCAUAGGACAAAAGGUACUCCGGGGAUAACAGGCUGAUCGCUCCCAAGAG
This 1350-nucleotide ribosomal RNA is filed under the name human gut metagenome. Its description in RNAcentral is "bacterial LSU rRNA". It matches the Rfam family "Bacterial large subunit ribosomal RNA", at positions 1107 to 2498 of the family's 2925-position model. The record is from RNAcentral.